RNAcentral lists this long non-coding RNA (1641 nucleotides) under Oncorhynchus kisutch (coho salmon). RNAcentral's name for it is "lncRNA (ENSOKIG00005039809.1)". The record is from RNAcentral. Lineage: Eukaryota; Metazoa; Chordata; Actinopteri; Salmoniformes; Salmonidae.
AUGAGUGUAAUGAUGAUAGUUUUCCUCUUGUUGUUAUUGAUGAGUGUAAUGAUGAUAGUUUUCCUCUUGUUGUUAUUGAUGAGUAUAAUGAUGAUUAUGAUAGUUUUUCUCUUGUUGUUAUUGAUGAGUAUAAUGAUGAUAGUUUUCCUCUUGUUGUUAUUGAUGAGUAUAAUGAUGAUAGUUUUCCUCUUGUUGUUAUUGAUGAGUAUAAUGAUGAUAGUUUUCCUCUUGUUGUUAUUGAUGAGUAUAAUGAUGAUAGUUUUCCUCUUGUUGUUAUUGAUGAGUAUAAUGAGUAUAGUUGUCCUCUUGUUGUUAUUGAUGAGUAUAAUGAUGAUAGUUUUCCUCUUGUUGUUAUUGAUGAGUAUAAUGAGUAUAGUUGUCCUCUUGUUGUUAUUGAUGAGUAUAAUGAUGAUAGUUUUCCUCUUGUUGUUAUUGAUGAGUAUAAUGAUGAUUAUGAUAGUUUUCCUCUUGUUGUUAUUGAUGAGUAUAGUUGUCCUCUUGUUGUUAUUGAUGAGUAUAAUGAGUAUAGUUGUCCUCUUGUUGUUAUUGAUGAGUAUAAUGAGUAUAGUUGUCCUCUUGUUGUUAUUGAUGAGUAUAAUGAUGAUAGUUUUCCUCUUGUUGUUAUUGAUGAGUAUAAUGAUGAUAGUUUUCCUCUUGUUGUUAUUGAUGAGUAUAAUGAGUAUAGUUGUCCUCUUGUUGUUAUUGAUGAGUGUAAUGAUGAUAGUUUCUCUUGUUGUUAUUGAUGAGUGUAAUGAGUAUAGUUGUCCUCUUGUUGUUAUUGAUGAGUAUAAUGAGUAUAGUUGUCCUCUUGUUGUUAUUGAUGAGUGUAAUGAGUAUAGUUGUCCUCUUGUUGUUAUUGAUGAGUAUAAUGAGUAUAGUUGUCCUCUUGUUGUUAUUGAUGAGUAUAAUGAGUAUAGUUGUCCUCUUGUUGUUAUUGAUGAGUAUAAUGAUGAUUAUGAUAGUUUUUCUCUUGUUGUUAUUGAUGAGUAUAAUGAUGAUAGUUUUCCUCUUGUUGUUAUUGAUGAGUAUAAUGAUGAUAGUUUUCCUCUUGUUGUUAUUGAUGAGUAUAAUGAUGAUAGUUUUCCUCUUGUUGUUAUUGAUGAGUAUAAUGAUGAUAGUUUUCCUCUUGUUGUUAUUGAUGAGUAUAAUGAGUAUAGUUGUCCUCUUGUUGUUAUUGAUGAGUAUAAUGAUGAUAGUUUUCCUCUUGUUGUUAUUGAUGAGUAUAAUGAGUAUAGUUGUCCUCUUGUUGUUAUUGAUGAGUAUAAUGAUGAUAGUUUUCCUCUUGUUGUUAUUGAUGAGUAUAAUGAUGAUUAUGAUAGUUUUCCUCUUGUUGUUAUUGAUGAGUAUAGUUGUCCUCUUGUUGUUAUUGAUGAGUAUAAUGAGUAUAGUUGUCCUCUUGUUGUUAUUGAUGAGUAUAAUGAUGAUAGUUGUCCUCUUGUUGUUAUUGAUGAGUAUAAUGAUGAUAGUUGUCCUCUUGUUGUUAUUGAUGAGUAUAAUGAUGAUAGUUUUCCUCUUGUUGUUAUUGAUGAGUAUAAUGAUGAUAGUUUUCCUCUUGUUGUUAUUGAUGAGUAUAAUGAGUAUAGUUGUCCUCUUGUUGUUAUUGAUGAGUGUAAUGAUGAUAGUUUCUCUUGUUGUUAUUGA